Molecule: ribosomal RNA, 446 nt
Filed under: uncultured bacterium
Lineage: Bacteria
Description: bacterial SSU rRNA
Rfam family: Bacterial small subunit ribosomal RNA
Source: RNAcentral
CCAGACUCCUACGGGAGGCAGCAGUGGGGAAUAUUGCACAAUGGGGGAAACCCUGAUGCAGCGACGCCGCGUGAGUGAAGAAGUAUUUCGGUAUGUAAAGCUCUAUCAGCAGGGAAGAUAAUGACGGUACCUGAGUAAGAAGCCCCGGCUAACUACGUGCCAGCAGCCGCGGUAAUACGUAGGGGGCAAGCGUUAUCCGGAUUUACUGGGUGUAAAGGGAGCGUAGACGGCAUGGCAAGUCUGAAGUGAAAGCCCGGGGCUCAACCGCGGGACUGCUUUGGAAACUGUUAAGCUGGAGUGCAGGAGGGGCAGGCGGAAUUCCUGGUGUAGCGGUGAAAUGCGUAGAUAUCAGGAGGAACACCGGCGGCGAAGGCGGCCUGCUGGACUGAAACUGACGUUGAGGCUCGAAAGCGUGGGGAGCAAACAGGAUUAGAUACCCCGGAGAC